UACAGAGGGUGCGAGCGUUGUCCGGAAUUACUGGGCGUAAAGAGCUCGUAGGUGGUUUGUCGCGUUGUCCGUGAAAACUCACAACUCAAUUGUGGGCGUGCGGGCGAUACGGGCAGACUGGAGUACUGCAGGGGAGACUGGAAUUCCUGGUGUAGCGGUGGAAUGCGCAGAUAUCAGGAGGAACACCGGUGGCGAAGGCGGGUCUCUGGGCAGUAACUGACGCUGAGGAGCGAAAGCGUGGGGAGCGAACAGG
This 253-nucleotide ribosomal RNA is filed under the name uncultured bacterium. Its description in RNAcentral is "partial 16S ribosomal RNA". It matches the Rfam family "Bacterial small subunit ribosomal RNA", at positions 524 to 776 of the family's 1533-position model. The record is from RNAcentral.